This 29-nucleotide ribosomal RNA is filed under the name Euryops tenuissimus subsp. tenuissimus. RNAcentral's name for it is "partial 26S ribosomal RNA". The record is from RNAcentral. Lineage: Eukaryota; Viridiplantae; Streptophyta; Magnoliopsida; Asterales; Asteraceae.
CCCCAGUCAGGCGGGACUACCCGCUGAGU